CAGCAGCCGCGGUAAUACGAAGGGUGCAAGCGUUAAUCGGAAUUACUGGGCGUAAAGCGUGCGUAGGCGGUUUGUUAAGUCUGUUGUGAAAUCCCCGGGCUCAACCUGGGAAUGGCAAUGGAUACUGGCAAGCUAGAGUGUGUCAGAGGAUGGUGGAAUUCCCGGUGUAGCGGUGAAAUGCGUAGAGAUCGGGAGGAACAUCAGUGGCGAAGGCGGCCAUCUGGGACAACACUGACGCUGAGGCACGAAAGCGUGGGGAGCAAACAGGAUUAGAGACCCGCGUAGUCCCUGUCUCUUAUAC
RNAcentral lists this ribosomal RNA (301 nucleotides) under uncultured bacterium. Its description in RNAcentral is "partial 16S ribosomal RNA". It matches the Rfam family "Bacterial small subunit ribosomal RNA", at positions 509 to 807 of the family's 1533-position model. The record is from RNAcentral.